Molecule: ribosomal RNA, 460 nt
Filed under: uncultured bacterium
Lineage: Bacteria
Description: partial 16S ribosomal RNA
Rfam family: Bacterial small subunit ribosomal RNA
Source: RNAcentral
CCUACGGGAGGCAGCAGUGAGGAAUAUUGGUCAAUGGGCGCGAGCCUGAACCAGCCAAGUAGCGUGAAGGAUGACUGCCCUAUGGGUUGUAAACUUCUUUUAUAAAGGAAUAAAGUGAGGCACGCGUGCCUUUUUGUAGGUACUUUACGAAUAAGGAUCGGCUAACUCCGUGCCAGCAGCCGCGGUAAUACGGAGGAUCCGAGCGUUAUCCGGAUUUAUUGGGUUUAAAGGGAGCGUAGAUGGGUUGUUAAGUUAGUUGUGAAAGUUUGCGGCUCAACCGUAAAAUUGCAAUUGAUACUGGCAGUCUUGAGUGCAGUUGAGGUAGGCGGAAUGCGUGGUGUAGCGGUGAAAUGCUUAGAUAUCACGAAGAACUCCGAUUGCGAAGGCAGCUUACUAAGCUGCCACUGACAUUGAUGCACGAAAGUGUGGGGAUCAAACAGGAUUAGAUACCCCGGUAGUC